CAUGAUUAGCCAGGAAAUAUAUAUUUUAAUUGGGGUAGCCCCCAAAAUAUUGGGCCAUAUAAAAAAAACGACAACUCUGUUCUGCAGAGUAGCUGUUGACAUUAUAGUUGCACAGGCACUUUGUUGCCUCUAGAGAACUUCGGGCCAAUUGGAUAUCCCCGUGGCGGCGACUUUGCAUGCGGAUGUCAUCCAUAUCAACUUUCAAUCCCAGUUUCUGCGCCUACCAUGGUGACCACGGGUAACGGGGAAUCAUAGUUCCAUUCCGUAUAGGGACCCUGAGAAACAGCUACCACAUGCACGGAAGGCAGCAGGCGCGCAAAUGACCCACUCCCGACGCGGGAAGGUAGUGA
Non-coding RNA from Pelobates cultripes (western spadefoot toad), 350 nucleotides. The record is from the annotation of a GenBank genome assembly. Lineage: Eukaryota; Metazoa; Chordata; Amphibia; Anura; Pelobatidae.